Molecule: transfer RNA, 72 nt
Filed under: Schistosoma japonicum
Lineage: Eukaryota; Metazoa; Platyhelminthes; Trematoda; Strigeidida; Schistosomatidae
Description: tRNA-OTHER
Source: RNAcentral
GGCUCAGUGGUCCAAUGGUAAAGCGCUCGUUGCGAAACCAGAGGGUUUUGGGUUCAAUUCCCAACAGGAUCG